UACGUAUGGAGCAAGCGUUAUCCGGAUUUACUGGGUGUAAAGGGGGCGCAGACGGCGAUGCAAGCCAGGAGUGAAAGCCCGGGGCCCAACCCCGGGACUGCUCUUGGAACUGCGUGGCUGGAGUGCAGGAGGGGCAGGCGGAAUUCCUGGUGUAGCGGUGAAAUGCGUAGAUAUCAGGAGGAACACCGGUGGCGAAGGCGGCCUGCUGGACUGCAACUGACGUUGAGGCCCGAAAGCGUGGGGAGCAAACAGG
RNAcentral lists this ribosomal RNA (253 nucleotides) under uncultured bacterium. RNAcentral's name for it is "partial 16S ribosomal RNA". It matches the Rfam family "Bacterial small subunit ribosomal RNA", at positions 524 to 776 of the family's 1533-position model. The record is from RNAcentral.